Molecule: ribosomal RNA, 460 nt
Filed under: uncultured bacterium
Lineage: Bacteria
Description: partial 16S ribosomal RNA
Rfam family: Bacterial small subunit ribosomal RNA
Source: RNAcentral
CCUACGGGAGGCUGCAGUGAGGAAUAUUGGUCAAUGGACGAGAGUCUGAACCAGCCAAGUAGCGUGAAGGAUGACUGCCCUCUGGGUUGUAAACUUCUUUUAUAUGGGAAUAAAAUGUUCCACGUGUGGGAUUUUGUAUGUACCAUAUGAAUAAGGAUCGGCUAACUCCGUGCCAGCAGCCGCGGUAAUACGGAGGAUCCGAGCGUUGUCCGGAUUUAUUGGGUUUAAAGGGAGCGUAGGUGGAUUGUUAAGUCAGUUGUGAAAGUUUGCGGCUCAACCGUAAAAUUGCAGUUGAAACUGGCAGUCUUGAGUACAGUAGAGGUGGGCGGAAUUCGUGGUGUAGCGGUGAAAUGCUUAGAUAUCACGAAGAACUCCGAUUGCGAAGGCAGUUCACUGGACUGCAACUGACACUGAGGCUCGAAAGUGUGGGUAUCAAACAGGAUUAGAUACCCUAGUAGUC